This is a long non-coding RNA of Oreochromis niloticus (Nile tilapia), 625 nucleotides long. RefSeq lists it as uncharacterized. The record is from RefSeq and is a predicted model, not a curated record. The transcript has 4 exons. NCBI's taxonomy places the organism in Eukaryota, Metazoa, Chordata, Actinopteri, Cichliformes, Cichlidae.
CUGUAACUGUAAAACAUCAAGUAAGGAAUUUCCUGUGUGGUACAGAAACUGCACCCAUGAAAAUCAACCUUCUCUUGUUCUAAAACUAGAAGAGGAUUCAUGGAAACCCACCACUGACCAAGAAACUUUUGUGAAUUCACUAUCUCGGUUCCACUUUGUAAAGAACCAGUCGUCUGGAUCAUAUGAUCUGCUGAUCAUAAAUAUUUCUUAUUCUGAUGAGGGCCUCUACUACUGUGGAAUUGGGAAGCGCAAGGUGGAACAGACUUCAGUCAUCAGUCUCAAAUAUAUUUACAGAUACAGCAGUGUUACAACAAGGAUCCUAAUCAAUUCGAGUAACCAACACUACUCAACUUCAACUUCAACCGAUUUCCUGACUACACCAGACUGUAGCAUGUGUUGGAAACUGCUAUUCAUCCUGUGUCCAGCAUCGUCUGUUUUCUCCUCUUUUCUUGUCUCUCUUCUUGUUCAUCACAUCUGCCAGAAAAAAGUUGAUCAGCCCAAACCUGAAAUGAGUGGAAAAGCAAGGAGAAAUCAGGAUGAAGAUGUGUUUUACGCCACAGUGAAAACCGGUCAAGCAACACAAAGACCAAAGAAGAAGAUAACCUAUAGUUCUGAAUUCUGCACA